GAUGAACGCUGGCGGUGUGCCUAAUACAUGCAAGUCGAGCGAACAGACGAGGAGCUUGCUCCUCUGACGUUAGCGGCGGACGGGUGAGUAACACGUGGAUAACCUACCUAUAAGACUGGGAUAACUUCGGGAAACCGGAGCUAAUACCGGAUAAUAUAUUGAACCGCAUGGUUCAAUAGUGAAAGACGGUUUUGCUGUCACUUAUAGAUGGAUCCGCGCCGCAUUAGCUAGUUGGUAAGGUAACGGCUUACCAAGGCAACGAUGCGUAGCCGACCUGAGAGGGUGAUCGGCCACACUGGAACUGAGACACGGUCCAGACUCCUACGGGAGGCAGCAGUAGGGAAUCUUCCGCAAUGGGCGAAAGCCUGACGGAGCAACGCCGCGUGAGUGAUGAAGGUCUUCGGAUCGUAAAACUCUGUUAUUAGGGAAGAACAAAUGUGUAAGUAACUAUGCACGUCUUGACGGUACCUAUUCAGAAAGCCACGGCUAACUACGUG
RNAcentral lists this ribosomal RNA (497 nucleotides) under uncultured bacterium. RNAcentral's name for it is "partial 16S ribosomal RNA". It matches the Rfam family "Bacterial small subunit ribosomal RNA", at positions 28 to 507 of the family's 1533-position model. The record is from RNAcentral.